Molecule: ribosomal RNA, 775 nt
Filed under: uncultured Neocallimastigales
Lineage: Eukaryota; Fungi; Neocallimastigomycota; Neocallimastigomycetes; Neocallimastigales
Description: partial large subunit ribosomal RNA
Rfam family: Eukaryotic large subunit ribosomal RNA
Source: RNAcentral
AGAGAUGUGUGAUGACGCAUAUCAAUAAGCGGAGGAAAAGAAACUAACAAGGAUUCCCUUAGUAACGGCGAGUGAGGCGGGAAGAGCUCAAAUUUGAAAUCUUCAAGGUUCUACCUUGACGAAUUGUAGUUUAUAGAAGUGUUUUCUGUUAGUAGAGUGGCAAAAGUUCUUUGGAAUAGGACAUCAUAGAGGGUGAGAAUCCCGUAUUUGGUCAUUCUUUCUAGCUUUGUGAUACACUUUCAACGAGUCGGAUUGUUUGGGAAUGCAGUCCAAAAUGGGUGGUAAAUUUCAUCUAAAGCUAAAUAUUGGCGAGAGACCGAUAGCGAACAAGUACCGUGAGGGAAAGAUGAAAAGAACUUUGAAAAGAGAGUUAAACAGUACGUGAAAUUGUCAAAAGGGAAGCGUUUGACACCAGUGUUGUUUUUCCGAAAAUCAAUUACGAAUGUUUUAUUUUUGAGGAGUUAUGACUUCAUCGGCUUGCUCCUUUCUUUAUGAAACUUUCUUAAUGACACUUUUCGGUUAACAAGUCAACAUCAAUUUCUUUUGUUGUAAAAGAGUAUGAGGAAGGUGGCUUUCUUUUCGGAGAAAGUGUUUAUAGCCUUGUGCCUCUGCAAUCGGAGAGAUUGAGGUCUGCAGCGUAGAUCCUUCGGGGUUAGAUACGUUUGUGCUAAGUUAUAGCUUUUCAUAGACAACUUGUUGACUAUGUUUAGUCUUGUAGCUUACUCGCUUACGCUAUUUUACCUACGCUUAGGAUGUUGAAGAUGUAGCACAUCAU